This 105-nucleotide small nuclear RNA is filed under the name Echinops telfairi (small Madagascar hedgehog). Its description in RNAcentral is "U1 spliceosomal RNA (ENSETEG00000024552.1)". It matches the Rfam family "U1 spliceosomal RNA", at positions 14 to 121 of the family's 166-position model. From Rfam's summary of the family: U1 is a small nuclear RNA (snRNA) component of the spliceosome (involved in pre-mRNA splicing). Its 5' end forms complementary base pairs with the 5' splice junction, thus defining the 5' donor site of an intron. The record is from RNAcentral. Lineage: Eukaryota; Metazoa; Chordata; Mammalia; Afrosoricida; Tenrecidae.
AGGGGAGAUCCAAUGAUCAUGAUGGUGGUUUUCCCAGGAUGCGCUCACCCAUUGCACUCCGGAUGUGCUGACCCCUGUGAUUUCCCAAAUUUGGGAAACUCAACU